UACANCGGGAAGCCACCUGGCGACAGGGCGCGGAACCCGAAAACCUGUCUCAGUUCGGAUUGGAGUCUGCAACCCGACUCCAUGAAGCUGGAUUCGCUAGUAAUCGCGCAUCAGCCACGGCGCGGUGAAUACGUUCCCGGGCCUUGUACACACCGCCCGUCAAGCCAUGGAAGCCGGGAGUGCCUGAAGUGCGUGACCGCAAGGAGCGUCCUAAGGCAAUACCGGUGACUGGGGCUAAGUCGUAACAAGGUACC
Molecule: ribosomal RNA, 254 nt
Filed under: uncultured bacterium
Lineage: Bacteria
Description: partial 16S ribosomal RNA
Rfam family: Bacterial small subunit ribosomal RNA
Source: RNAcentral